ACUCCUACGGGAGGCAGCAGUGGGGAAUAUUGCACAAUGGGCGCAAGCCUGAUGCAGCAACGCCGCGUGAGGGACGACGGCCUUCGGGUUGUAAACCUCUUUUAGUAGGGAAGAAGCGAAAGUGACGGUACCUGCAGAAAAAGCACCGGCUAACUACGUGCCAGCAGCCGCGGUAAUACGUAGGGUGCAAGCGUUAUCCGGAAUUAUUGGGCGUAAAGAGCUCGUAGGCGGUUUGUCGCGUCUGCUGUGAAAACUGGAGGCUCAACCUCCAGCCUGCAGUGGGUACGGGCAAACUAGAGUGCGGUAGGGGAGAUUGGAAUUCCUGGUGUAGCGGUGGAAUGCGCAGAUAUCAGGAGGAACACCGAUGGCGAAGGCAGAUCUCUGGGCCGUAACUGACGCUGAGGAGCGAAAGCAUGGGGAGCGAACAGGAUUAGAUACCCUGGUAGUCCAUGCCGUAAACGUUGGGAACUAGAUGUGGGGGCCAUUCCACGGCUUCCGUGUCGCAGCUAACGCAUUAAGUUCCCCGCCUGGGGAGUACGGCCGCAAGGCUAAAACUCAAAGGAAUUGACGGGGGCCCGCACAAGCGGCGGAGCAUGCGGAUUAAUUCGAUGCAACGCGAAGAACCUUACCAAGGCUUGACAUAUACCUGAAAAGGCUGGAAACAGUCUCCCCGCAAGGCAGGUAUACAGGUGGUGCAUGGUUGUCGUCAGCUCGUGUCGUGAGAUGUUGGGUUAAGUCCCGCAACGAGCGCAACCCUCGUUCUAUGUUGCCAGCACGUAAUGGUGGGAACUCAUAGGAGACUGCCGGGGUCAACUCGGA
This 819-nucleotide ribosomal RNA is filed under the name uncultured Actinomycetes bacterium. Its description in RNAcentral is "bacterial SSU rRNA". It matches the Rfam family "Bacterial small subunit ribosomal RNA", at positions 335 to 1167 of the family's 1533-position model. The record is from RNAcentral. Lineage: Bacteria; Bacillati; Actinomycetota; Actinomycetes.